Molecule: ribosomal RNA, 440 nt
Filed under: uncultured bacterium
Lineage: Bacteria
Description: partial 16S ribosomal RNA
Rfam family: Bacterial small subunit ribosomal RNA
Source: RNAcentral
CUACGGGACGCUCCAGUGAGGAAUAUUGCACAAUGGGGGGAACCCUGAUGCAGCAACGCCGCGUGGAGGAUGACGCAUUUCGGUGUGUAAACUCCUUUUAUAUGUCAAGAAAAUGACGGUAGCAUAUGAAUAAGCACCGGCUAACUCCGUGCCAGCAGCCGCGGUGAAUACGGAGGGUGCAAGCGUUACUCGGAAUCACUGGGCGUAAAGGACGCGUAGGCGGGUUGGAAAGUCAGGUGUGAAAUCCUACAGCUUAACUGUAGAACUGCACUUGAAACUUCUAAUCUAGAGUAUGGGAGGGGGAGAUGGAAUUAGUGGUGUAGGGGUAAAAUCCGUAGAUAUCACUAGGAAUACCUAAAGCGAAGGCGAUCUCCUGGAACAUUACUGACGCUAAGGCGUGAAAGCGUGGGGAGCAAACAGGAUUAGAUACCCGCGUAGUC